RNAcentral lists this ribosomal RNA (1343 nucleotides) under uncultured bacterium. Its description in RNAcentral is "16S ribosomal RNA". It matches the Rfam family "Bacterial small subunit ribosomal RNA", at positions 28 to 1378 of the family's 1533-position model. The record is from RNAcentral.
GACGAACGUUGGCGGCGUGCUUAACACAUGCAAGUCGAACGGAAAGGCCCUGCUUUUGUGGGGUGCUCGAGUGGCGAACGGGUGAGUAACACGUGAGUAACCUGCCCUUGACUUUGGGAUAACUUCAGGAAACUGGGGCUAAUACCGGAUAGGAGCUCCUGCUGCAUGGUGGGGGUUGGAAAGUUUCGGCGGUUGGGGAUGGACUCGCGGCUUAUCAGCUUGUUGGUGGGGUAGUGGCUUACCAAGGCUUUGACGGGUAGCCGGCCUGAGAGGGUGACCGGCCACAUUGGGACUGAGAUACGGCCCAGACUCCUACGGGAGGCAGCAGUGGGGAAUAUUGCACAAUGGGCGGAAGCCUGAUGCAGCAACGCCGCGUGCGGGAUGACGGCCUUCGGGUUGUAAACCGCUUUCGCCUGUGACGAAGCGUGAGUGACGGUAAUGGGUAAAGAAGCACCGGCUAACUACGUGCCAGCAGCCGCGGUGAUACGUAGGGUGCGAGCGUUGUCCGGAUUUAUUGGGCGUAAAGGGCUCGUAGGUGGUUGAUCGCGUCGGAAGUGUAAUCUUGGGGCUUAACCCUGAGCGUGCUUUCGAUACGGGUUGACUUGAGGAAGGUAGGGGAGAAUGGAAUUCCUGGUGGAGCGGUGGAAUGCGCAGAUAUCAGGAGGAACACCAGUGGCGAAGGCGGUUCUCUGGGCCUUUCCUGACGCUGAGGAGCGAAAGCGUGGGGAGCGAACAGGCUUAGAUACCCUGGUAGUCCACGCUGUAAACGGUGGGUACUAGGUGUGGGGUCCAUUCCACGGGUUCCGUGCCGUAGCUAACGCUUUAAGUACCCCGCCUGGGGAGUACGGCCGCAAGGCUAAAACUCAAAGGAAUUGACGGGGCCCCGCACAAGCGGCGGAGCAUGCGGAUUAAUUCGAUGCAACGCGUAGAACCUUACCUGGGUUUGACAUGGAUCGGGAGUGCUCAGAGAUGGGUGUGCCUCUUUUGGGGUCGGUUCACAGGUGGUGCAUGCCUGUCGUCAGCUCGUGUCGUGAGAUGUUGGGUUAAGUCCCGCAACGAGCGCAACCCUUGUUCACUGUUGCCAGCACGUUAUGGUGGGGACUCAAUGGAGACCGCCGGGGUCAACUCGGAGGAAGGUGGGGAUGACGUCAAGUCAUCAUGCCCCUUAUGUCCAGGGCUUCACGCAUGCUACAAUGGCUGGUACAGAGAGUGGCGAGCCUGUGAGGGUGAGCGAAUCUCGGAAAGCCGGUCUCAGUUCGGAUUGGGGUCUGCAACUCGACCUCAUGAAGUCGGAGUCGCUAGUAAUCGCAGAUCAGCAACGCUGCGGUGAAUACGUUCCCGGG